Long non-coding RNA from Eriocheir sinensis (Chinese mitten crab), 385 nucleotides. RefSeq lists it as uncharacterized. Lineage: Eukaryota; Metazoa; Arthropoda; Malacostraca; Decapoda; Varunidae. The record is from RefSeq and is a predicted model, not a curated record. The transcript is spliced from 2 exons.
UUGAAGGCCAUGCUGGAGGUCUGGAUCUUCUUAAUCUGUCCUGGCUUCAGCGCGUUGAUGACCCUGUGGAGGAAGACCAGUGUGAGGAAGGGGGCUUAGACGGAGGUUUUACAUGAGGAGGAGGAACGAGGAGGAGUUGAGGAUGGGUGAAGAUCUAUGGGGAAGACAAGAAUUGACUACAUAAGGAGGAGAAAUGAGGGAUGAGGAUUAAGGAGGGAAACUGUGAUGGUGUUUGCAAGAGGGAGAGAGGAGGGAAGAGGAAUAAAGAGGAAUCUGGUGGGGGAUAGAGAGGAAGAGAGGAGGUAAGAGGAAUGAAGAUGAGUCUGAGAAGGGGAUUGAGGAAGAGAGGAGGUAAGAGGAGAAGGAGGAGGAGGAGGAGGAGGAG